Molecule: microRNA precursor, 81 nt
Filed under: Pseudomonas sp. GM16
Lineage: Bacteria; Pseudomonadati; Pseudomonadota; Gammaproteobacteria; Pseudomonadales; Pseudomonadaceae
Description: mir-153
Source: RNAcentral
AAGAUCAAAAGAUCGCAGCCUUCGGCAGCUCCUACAUUGGAUUUGUGUAGGAGCUGCCGAAGGCUGCGAUCUUUUGAUCUG